UCAAAACAGCGGACUUCGGGCCUUGCUGCACCCUUGUCCUUUUGCGCACCGUAUUGUUUCCUCGGCGGGCUUGCCUGCCGGUUGGACAUUAUCAAAACCUCUUUUGUAGUUGCAAUCAGCGUCAGAAAAACAAUAAUUAUUA
Molecule: unclassified non-coding RNA, 142 nt
Filed under: soil metagenome
Description: partial internal transcribed spacer 1
Source: RNAcentral